Molecule: microRNA precursor, 73 nt
Filed under: Myotis lucifugus (little brown bat)
Lineage: Eukaryota; Metazoa; Chordata; Mammalia; Chiroptera; Vespertilionidae
Description: mir-9193 microRNA precursor family
Rfam family: mir-9193 microRNA precursor family
Source: Rfam by way of RNAcentral
CAUGUACUGGGGGGUCCCUCAGCCCAGAUUGUGAGAGGGCACAGGCCAGGGCUAGGGACCCCAUCAGUGCAUG